This is a long non-coding RNA of Paramisgurnus dabryanus, 493 nucleotides long. RefSeq lists it as uncharacterized. The record is from RefSeq and is a predicted model, not a curated record. Lineage: Eukaryota; Metazoa; Chordata; Actinopteri; Cypriniformes; Cobitidae.
AAUAGACACAUUAAGGUAAAUUAAAUAUUGAGGCUCAUGUUUGCAUCUUUGUGUUUAUAUAUCAAAAGAUUGCUCUGUGAUUUCAGUGAAAGCUGAUAAAUACAGAGGGCUGGACAGUGGUUUCAUUGAUUAAGUAAAGAGGUGGGACAAGGAUGCUGACAGGACAGGAGGAGGUGACAUUCAGCUGAAUUUCUCAUAGGUGGAUAAAGGAUGACAGCAAUUGUGAAGACCUUAGACGUGCAGUAUAUGGUUCUUCUCUCUUUCAUUUAUAUUGAUUUGACUUAAUUUUCUUGACAUUCAGCGCAGACAUUUUCAUCCAAAGCAACUUGAGGAAGAAAACAAGAAGCAGUUCAUCCUAAAAGUGGGCUGCUGUAUGGAAAGAGGAGCUGAGAAGAAAAGAGAGGCUGGAAAGCAGUACUUCUUGUUGAGGACAAUCCUGAAUAGGAACACUUUCUCAUAUACACAUAGAUUAUAAUUUAGUGUUUGAUAUUUU